GCUGCCCUCCGCUCCAUCCCUCUCCUCUUCCUCUCCUCUUCCUCUCCUCUUCCUCUCCUCUUCCUCUCUUCCUCUCCUCUCUUCCUCUCCUCUCUUCCUCUCCUCUCUUCCUCUCCUCUCUUCCUCUCCUCUUCCUCCAGGGGUGGGUGUACAGGGGAUGCAGCGUUUUGCCUGUCCCCAUCACUGACAUGUCCCUGUGAGCGUGUGUGCGCGCAGCGGGGCUCGGGGCAGUGUGUCUGUCCGUGUCGUGUGUCCGUGUGUCUGUCUGUGCUCGCCCAUCACCGCCCCGUCCAUCCCAGCUGGCCGCUCCGCAGGGCGCACCCGGGUCAGGAGCCGGGCUCCAGGUACCGCUUCAGGUGGUGCCGUGUCUGUGCAGGGCUGGAGCCUGCAGGAAAAGCAUUCCUAAAGGCAAUCCUCUGGUGCAGGACAGAGCUCAGGAAUAAGAGUUGCAGCUGCACAUCAGGAUGGAGCCAGGCUCUGAGAUAUGAGAGAUUUGCCACGACAAAAAAAUAAUUGGUUCCUGCAAUUUGGAAUCUGAUGAAACUGAAGCGUGUUAAGGUUGAACACUUAGCCUGCUCUUGCAUGAUCUUUCCAAUAACUCAUGUUCCUUUGAAGUCACUUCAUUGUCCUGACUUUCUUGGGUUUGAAUUGUUGCCAGUUUUAAUAUAUUGGAAUGUUGAAUAACAUCAGUGAUAACAUCACAGCAAUGUGUGACAUAGUGUUUCUGUUGCCCUGAAUUGCAACUCUGUUCUAGCCUAUGGUGAACAUCAAAAGUUUUAAUGUUGAAACUUUUUUACUAUAGAUUUUAAUACUAUUUAUGUCUUUCAAUACUUUGAAUCUUACAAGAACUUUACUCAUGAAGUACACAAAACCAGGGAAAACUGUGAUCUUAUGGAUAUUCCUGUGGGUAUAACUGAACACUUUAGAAAAGUUAUAGACUGGCUUUUGUGAAUAGCAUCCCAAAGCAAAUCUUAUGGAAAAAAUCUAACGACCUAUGAAGGAUUUAUUUGUGUAUUUUUUUUCAUAAAUAGUGUAGUUACAGGCAAGGUAGACAAGCUGUUUCAUGUGAAUAAAUGAAUCAAUACAUCAAACUAAUGCA
This 1099-nucleotide long non-coding RNA is filed under the name Cyanistes caeruleus (blue tit). RNAcentral's name for it is "lncRNA (ENSCCEG00000012584.1)". The record is from RNAcentral. Lineage: Eukaryota; Metazoa; Chordata; Aves; Passeriformes; Paridae.